CCUACGGGUGGCAGCAGUGAGGAAUAUUGGUCAAUGGGCGAGAGCCUGAACCAGCCAAGUCGCGUGAGGGAGUACUGCCCUAUGGGUUGUAAACCUCUUUUGUCGGGGAGCAAAAGCCGGACGUGUCCGGCUGUGAGAGUACCCGCAGAAAAAGCAUCUGCUAACUCCGUGCCAGCAGCCGCGGUAUUACGGAGGAUGCGAGCGUUAUCCGGAUUUAUUGGGUUUAAAGGGUGCGCAGGCGGAUUUUUAAGUCAGCGGUAAAAUCGUGGGGCUCAACCCCAUCCAGCCGUUGAAACUGGGGAUCUAGAGUGUGCGAGAGGGAUGCGGAAUGCGUGGUGUAGCGGUGAAAUGCAUAGAUAUCACGCAGAACCCCGAUUGCGAAGGCAGCAUACCGGUGCACAACUGACGCUCAGGCACGAAAGUGUGGGUAUCGAACAGGAUUAGAUACCCGUGUAGUC
This 458-nucleotide ribosomal RNA is filed under the name uncultured bacterium. RNAcentral's name for it is "partial 16S ribosomal RNA". It matches the Rfam family "Bacterial small subunit ribosomal RNA", at positions 338 to 795 of the family's 1533-position model. The record is from RNAcentral.